CUGUCUCAGCCUGAGGGCGGAAAGCAACGGCCAAUAAUUAAUUAAUUAAUUAUAAUUAAUAUAAUUAUUAAUUAAUUAAUUAAACCUCUCUGAAGAACAAACUCUUGCCAAGAUAUAAUUCACUUUUAGCAGUAGCAAUAACAUUAGGGCCGCCUCCCUUCACACAGCCAAGUUGUCUGGGGUUGGAAAACGGUUUCCCCCCUGACUGAGGUGGCCAAUAGGAGCCGAGUGCUGAUCCGGUUCGGGAUCGAGGGAGGCGUCCGCACUAGUUGCUGUUCUCGCGCCUUCUUGCUGCCGAGGGACAGGGGCAGCCUUUUCUCAUCAUCUCCGACGCUUCAGAGGCCUUUUGGAUCUCUCUCUGCGAAGCCUCCCCGCAAAACCAUCAUGCUGCCUUUCCAGAAGGCCUCCAGGGUCCUGAUGGCGAGGCUGGGCAGGAGCCAGGUCUUGGUGCAGCCCAGGGCGAACAUCGUCCCUAAGCCCCCCAAAGACCCCAUCUCUCCCGCUGAGCAAGUUUUUGCGUUGACUGUGAUGUCUGCAGUCUUCUUGAUCCCACCAGGUUGGUUUUUGUGCCACCUUGAGGAUUACAAGAACCCCACCAGAGAUUGAAGUGCAUAUGGAAGGCUUCUGCUGUGAAUAUGGCUACCAAGACAGCACCAAAAAAGAAAAUUGUAUCCUGUUUCGUGGAAAGCUGUCCCUGGAGUUUGUUAUAAUUCAAGGCAGUUUUUAAAAUUACAGUAGCCAAAUAUGUUUUCUUUGAGAAAAGUGCACUACUAAUAGCAAAAAGGGAUAUUCAGUGUUGUGUUACCAAAUAAGGAUAUACAGAUUAAAUAAAUAAAUCCUUGAAAAUAUAAGGAAAA
This is a long non-coding RNA of Sceloporus undulatus (fence lizard), 857 nucleotides long. RefSeq lists it as uncharacterized. Lineage: Eukaryota; Metazoa; Chordata; Lepidosauria; Squamata; Phrynosomatidae. The record is from RefSeq and is a predicted model, not a curated record. The transcript has 2 exons.